This 345-nucleotide ribosomal RNA is filed under the name Triticum aestivum (bread wheat). Its description in RNAcentral is "partial small subunit ribosomal RNA". Lineage: Eukaryota; Viridiplantae; Streptophyta; Magnoliopsida; Poales; Poaceae. The record is from RNAcentral.
AUGGUGGUAACUGAGGACGAGGAAUUGGCACAAACACCCGGCACGGAAGGGCUUCAAACUAUAGAGGACAAGCUAACAAUGCCCAUGCAUAUAAACAAACAUAUACGACGGCAUAACAAGCCUAAGAUAGCACGAGACUAUGUUGUUUCUCCACAAGAUUAUGCCUGCACUGGCGAUGAUUGGUCCGUUAUACAAAAUAUCAUAUCCGAAACCAGCAAAGAAAGAAAUUUAGUGAGCAUCGGCGACGCAUUUCUGAAAAAAAGACAUUUACUAUCUCUUCUAACUCCCAGAGAAUGGGUUGGCGACGAAGUAAGUAUAUUAUUAUUAUUAUUAUUAUCGCAUUAG